UUCAAGGCUGCGUAUGCAGACAACAUACCUGCAAUGGUAGGCAAGCAACAAUGGGACAUUGUUGACCCUGGCUUCAAACUACAAGCUCCAGUGUUGAGGAGGCCAAAAGGACGACCGCGGAAGACUAGAAUCAGAUCUAGUGCUGAAGGUGCUGGCCUUGGCCCUAGGAAAAGGAAGUGCAAGCAUUGCGGAGGCUUCGGCCACAUAGCGAGAAUUUGCAAAAAUCCAGUUGACCCAGCAUUUGGAGAAGAUGAGGCUGACCUCCAUGCUGGAGAUGCCCCUUUUGUGGCCGGAGAAGGCGACCCUGAGCCAUCCGUGGUUGCAAGUUCUGUGGGCUCAAGGAAAAGUGUGAAGAAGAAAACAGAGAAGAAAACCAAUAAAAGGAAGAACAAGGAAGAUGAACAUUCAACCAGAACUGAAGGUUCCACAAGUGGAUCUGUUGCAUCUCCCAUGCAUACCCGAGUUGCACACAAAUCGCCAGACAGCCCUGCCCAAAACACAAGAAGCAAAAAGAGGCUGCACAUGUGA
This 528-nucleotide ribosomal RNA is filed under the name Triticum aestivum (bread wheat). RNAcentral describes it as "partial small subunit ribosomal RNA". Lineage: Eukaryota; Viridiplantae; Streptophyta; Magnoliopsida; Poales; Poaceae. The record is from RNAcentral.